Molecule: ribosomal RNA, 425 nt
Filed under: uncultured bacterium
Lineage: Bacteria
Description: partial 16S ribosomal RNA
Rfam family: Bacterial small subunit ribosomal RNA
Source: RNAcentral
GUGGGGAAUCUUGCGCAAUGGGCGAAAGCCUGACACAGCCAUGCCGCGUGAAUGAUGAAGGUCUUAGGAUUGUAAAAUUCUUUCACCGGGGACGAUAAUGACGGUACCCGGAGAAGAAGCCCCGGCUAACUUCGUGCCAGCAGCCGCGGUAAUACGAAGGGGGCUAGCGUUGCUCGGAAUUACUGGGCGUAAAGGGCGCGUAGGCGGACAGUUUAGUCAGAGGUGAAAGCCCAGGGCUCAACCUUGGAAUUGCCUUUGAUACUGGCUGUCUUGAGUACGGGAGAGGUGAGUGGAACUCCGAGUGUAGAGGUGAAAUUCGUAGAUAUUCGGAAGAACACCAGUGGCGAAGGCGACUCACUGGCCCGUUACUGACGCUGAGGCGCGAAAGCGUGGGGAGCAAACAGGAUUAGAUACCCUGGUAGUCC